Molecule: ribosomal RNA, 439 nt
Filed under: uncultured bacterium
Lineage: Bacteria
Description: partial 16S ribosomal RNA
Rfam family: Bacterial small subunit ribosomal RNA
Source: RNAcentral
CUACGGGAUGCACCAGUGGGGAAUAUUGGGCAAUGGGCGAAAGCCUGACCCAGCAACGCCGCGUGAAGGAAGAAGGUUUUCGGAUCGUAAACUUCUAUCCCGGGUGAAGAUAAUGACGGUAGCCCGGAAGGAAGCCCCGGCUAACUACGUGCCAGCAGCCGCGGUAAUACGUAGGGGGCAAGCGUUGUCCGGAAUGAUUGGGCGUAAAGGGCGCGUAGGCGGCCUUCUAAGUCCGAUGUGAAAGUCCUGCUUUUAAGGUGGGAAUUGCAUUGGAAACUGGAGGGCUUGAGUGCAGGAGAGGUAAGUGGAAUUCCCGGUGUAGCGGUGAAAUGCGUAGAGAUCGGGAGGAACACCAGUGGCGAAGGCGACUUACUGGACUGUAACUGACGCUGAGGCGCGAAAGUGUGGGGAGCAAACAGGAUUAGAUACCCCAGUAGUC